RNAcentral lists this ribosomal RNA (288 nucleotides) under Alloprevotella rava. Its description in RNAcentral is "partial 16S ribosomal RNA". It matches the Rfam family "Bacterial small subunit ribosomal RNA", at positions 1 to 278 of the family's 1533-position model. Lineage: Bacteria; Pseudomonadati; Bacteroidota; Bacteroidia; Bacteroidales; Prevotellaceae. The record is from RNAcentral.
ACAAUGAAGAGUUUGAUCCUGGCUCAGGAUGAACGCUAGCUACAGGCUUAACACAUGCAAGUCGAGGGGAAACGACAUUGAAAGCUUGCUUUUGAUGGGCGUCGACCGGCGCACGGGUGCGUAACGCGUAUCGAACCUGCCCUUUACUCAGGGAUAGCCUUGCGAAAGUAAGAUUAAUACCUGAUAGUGUUGUGAUGAGGCAUCUUGUUGCAACUAAAGAUUUAUUGGUAAAGGAUGGCGAUGCGUCUGAUUAGGUAGUAGGCGGGGUAAUGGCCCACCUAGCCGACG